This 643-nucleotide small RNA is filed under the name Pongo abelii (Sumatran orangutan). Its description in RNAcentral is "retained intron". The record is from RNAcentral. Lineage: Eukaryota; Metazoa; Chordata; Mammalia; Primates; Hominidae.
ACAUUCCAUCGGUUUGCUGCCUUUGGAGAAUCAUCAAGCAGUGGCACUGAAAUGAACAACAAGAACUUCUCCAAGCUGUGCAAAGACUGUGGCAUCAUGGAUGGCAAGACAGUCACCUCCACGGAUGUGGACAUCGUGUUCAGCAAAGUCAAGUGAGGAGCCAAAGAUAUGGGGGUGGGGGUGAGAAGAACCUGUGAGGUAGUUGGCCACGGAAGGGUUCAUGUGGUGGAACAUUUGCAGUGGGCCUACCAAGCACCACAGGGUACCUGGUGCUGUAUUAUUCUUUGUCUUCAAGACACUCACUGAUAGGACAAAAGAGGCCAAAUCUGAGUGAGGCAAGAGUUGGACUUUGGAAGGUAAUGCAUUCAUGCUCCAAAGUUUCUGGAUUUCUGUCUAACUGACCAGGGCCAAGAACGCCCGAACCAUCACGUUUCAACAGUUCAAAGAGGCAGUGAAGGAACUGGGCCAGAAGCGCUUCAAAGGGAAGAGUCCAGAUGAAGUCCUGGAGAACAUUUAUGGACUCAUGGAGGGCAAGGACCCAGCCACCACUGGCGCUACUUGGAUGCUCUCGUCUCUCCUGGACACCACACACACUCCAACUCCAGUAAGACUCUACUCAAAUAUAUCUCUUAUACAACUUCAA